This 778-nucleotide ribosomal RNA is filed under the name uncultured bacterium. RNAcentral describes it as "bacterial SSU rRNA". It matches the Rfam family "Bacterial small subunit ribosomal RNA", at positions 722 to 1510 of the family's 1533-position model. The record is from RNAcentral.
AGCUUGCCAGGCCCACAACUGACACUGAAGCACGAAAGUGUGGGUAUCAAAACACAAUUAGAUACCCUGGUAGUCCCACACAGUAAACGAUGAUUACUCGCUGUUUGCGAUAUACAGUAAGCGGCCAAGCGAAAGCGAUAAGUAAUCCACCUGGGGAGUACGCCGGCAACGGUGAAACUCAAAGGAAUUGACGGGGGCCCGCACAAGCGGAGGAACAUGUGGUUUAAUUCGAUGAUACGCGAGGAACCUUACCCGGGCUCGAACGGCAGAAUAAUAUAUUGGAAACAAUAUAGCCAGCAAUGGAUUUUGUCGAGGUGCUGCAUGGUUGUCGUCAGCUCGUGCCGUGAGGUGUCGGCUUAAGUGCCAUAACGAGCGCAACCCUUACCGGGAGUUACCAGCGAGUAGUGUCGGGGACUCUUCCGGGACUGCCACCGUAAGGUGUGAGGAAGGUGGGGAUGACGUCAAAUCAGCACGGCCCUUACGUCCGGGGCGACACACGUGUUACAAUGGGGGGGACAAAGGGCAGCUACCGUGCGAGCGGAUGCGAAUCUCGAAACCCUCUCCCAGUUCGGAUAGGAGUCUGCAACCCGACUCCUUGAAGCUGGAUUCGCUAGUAAUCGCGCAUCAGCCAUGGCGCGGUGAAUACGUUCCCGGGCCUUGUACACACCGCCCGUCAAGCCAUGGAAGCCGGGAGUACCUGAAGUGCGUAACCGCAAGGAGCGCUCUAGGGUAACACUGGUAACUGGGGCUAAGUCGUAACAAGGUAGCCGUAAAUCGA